UGGUCUUUGUCUUCUUGAUCAAAGAGUCAAUGAAUGGACAAGAUUUACCGAAAAGGGUAAUCCGGCCGUCCUUAUCGUCCUGAUUGGGUUUUACUUGGACGGCUACGAAUGAUAGGUUGUGCUUUUUUCAAAUUCCCAAAUUCACGAAACAACAAUUCGUGCCGAAGGUGUAUAUGUUCGUCUCUCUCAAGAAUAGAUAUGAGAAGAUAGAUUAAUUCUAGGCUUUGUUCUUUUAAUCCUUAUUGAGAAACCUAGCCCUAAUCUUUUUCUCCUCUUUUCUCUUUAACCUUGCGUCGAUAUCAAACUUUGUAAAGAAGUAGUUGUUUCGAGGAGGAUUAAUAUAUAGCUGGUUCUAAUGGGGAUUGUCGAAUCCAGAGUCUGAUGUAUCUGAUCCUAAGUCUGUUUACUUCUUCAUCGAAAUUUCAGAUGAAACUGAAGAGGGAAUCGGAGCGGAAAUUGAUAUGGGUUUGUCGAGAUAAGGAUUAUUGAGAACUGAGAUUGAUUAUUAAGUCAAAAUAAUUGAAAAUUUUCAGAAUCUAGGGUUUGGUUUUGGGAAGAGCAGCUGAGGCUGUGUCUGAAUCGGUAAGAAUGAGAAUGGGUUAAUUGAAGAUCGGGGUUUGAGAGUUCUUGGAUGAUGAUAAGAGUUGGGUUGAUCUCGAUUUGCAACCAGAUGAAGAAAUCAAUCGAGAAAAAAUAUUCCAGGUUUGUCGUAGUGAAGAUACCAUUAUUAUUAUGCAUCUUCGAAGGUAUUUGAUGGUUAUUGAUGUCUAAUAGACAAAGGCUGAGUUGGCCAAUUAUUAAAACAUUGUUGGAUGCAAGCCUAUGGAGUAAAUUUAACGAGAUGGCGAUGGGGUUAUUGUUUAUGAUAUGUUAAGGGGGUGAUUUAAGAGGCGAAGUCGAAUAAGAAAGGAGAUGAAGAGGAUUACCAGAAAAAGUAAUCAAUGUUCCAUCAUUUUCGCCUCCAGUUUAUCUUGCGUCCAAGCACAAAUUGAUCAUUAGUAUCAAACAGAGGGACUGAUGGGUGAUUUGACAACCAUUAAAUUGACCAUAAUCAUUUAUUUGAUGAAGAUGAAUUUUCAAACAAACCUGUUAUAUCUACACAAACCGAAUGCUGCUCAAUUAGUUCCACAGUAAACGCUUCAGCUGGAUAUCGGUACCGGAGAGGGCUCAGUUGGACGUGUUUAUCAAUAUCAAUUUAAUGACGAGAACGUAUAUUUAUCUCCUUGGUUCAGAAGAUGGUCUCCCGGUCUUCUUACUGUUGAUAUUCUCUUCUUAGCCAUGCAAAUAGAAUAUGACUAUAGAUAGUUUUCCAGAUAAUACGUUGGUGCUUCCAACCAGUGUAGAACGAACCUGCUAUCUAUCUGAGUAAACCUUUCAUUGUGGUCUAACUGCAUAAUUUUUAUGAAUCUAAUAAUUUUUCCGCUUGCAUACUUAUGUGUUCAUGUAAGAAGUGCCUCUUUUUUUAUUUCUCUGUGUACGUGAAUACAAAGAGCAUAUGUUUCCUGUAAGUAGUUUUGGUGGCAGCCAAAAAUUAUGCAAUUGGCGAAUGUGUCAAAUUUGUUUGCAUUAAAAUACAAGAGCGUGGGUAAAUAAUGCAGGCAUUUGUAGUAGUCGAGGAUCGACCAAGCGUUCUCAAAAAGAAGGAAACACAAUAAAGGUAUCUUACGACAAU
Papaver somniferum (opium poppy) is the source of this 1672-nucleotide long non-coding RNA. RefSeq lists it as uncharacterized. Lineage: Eukaryota; Viridiplantae; Streptophyta; Magnoliopsida; Ranunculales; Papaveraceae. The transcript is spliced from 7 exons. The record is from RefSeq and is a predicted model, not a curated record.